Long non-coding RNA from Dermochelys coriacea (leatherback sea turtle), 144 nucleotides. RefSeq lists it as uncharacterized. Lineage: Eukaryota; Metazoa; Chordata; Testudines; Dermochelyidae. The transcript is spliced from 2 exons. The record is from RefSeq and is a predicted model, not a curated record.
GGGAGGGAUCACCAAGGAAAGCUACCUUAUUGAGGUCAGAACAUGUAGGGAUAAAGCGAGACAGGCAAAAAGUCGAGUAGGGCUGAACCUUGCAAAGGGAAUUAAAACCAAUAGUAAAAGGUUCUAUAGCCAUAUAAAUAAGAA